CAGGCCAGAACUUUGAGUGUCAUUGCCAUUAUGACCAUCACAAGCCACCUAAUUGAAUGACUAACAAAAUUUUGGUUCCCUUUUUUCUUUUCUAAGUGAGAAGGUCUUCUGACAAUAAGAAUGUGCAAGUUGGUGGCUUGUGAAAGGACACUCCCAGAUUAGUAUCAUCCCUGGUAUCAACUUUGCAAACUACAUACCCUAAAGAGCAUGCAAAAAAGAAGGCAACCAACUCCCAUCUUAAAUCUUCUACUUUUCAGGGACUCUCCCAAGGUUGUUGAGUUGCCAUCCAAGGAAGUUAAAUAGGUAGGUACUGGACAUAGAUGAAGCUGAUGGAGAGACCUGUUCUUUUGGAAGACCAGCUCCAACUGCUUGCAGAAAGAUUUUUCUUCUUGACCUGUAUCAGAGUAGGAACGUUUAGAUUCUUUUGCUAUUGUGUAGAAAGAGUUGACAAGAAAAUUUAUAAAGUGAUAUGACACGGUUUAUUCACCUUAAGACAAUGCGGGGCCAUUAAAGCUGUCUUGCAGUCUGCAUUUAAUGCUGCAAGAAUAUUGUCCUGAAAGCUCAAAGUAUUUAAACUUCAUUGUUUUGGCUCAGUUCACCCACAGGAGUUACACUGGAAGAAAGAGAAGAAUGAGAAAGGCUUCCUGUUGUCCUAAGGAAGGUCUGAACAGGGGAGCUUGGACAAGCGAAGAAGACAAGCUUCUCUCAGACUACAUCUUGGCCCAUGGCCUUGGGAGAUGGAGAAGCCUGCCUGCCAAUGCCGGUAAGAGUAUUUGAUUCUGCAAUUCUAAGCCCAACAAUUUAAUAACAGCUGUGAGUGAGAAGCACAAAAUGGAGAUACUAUUUCCAUGAAGCAUGUCCAUGCAUGUUACAUGUAGGAUUUGGAUGACAAAUCUUAGUUUCAGAUUACAGAGAAAAAUAAGAGUAACAGAUACUGAAGCAGAUCUUUGAAGCUUCAGAUUAUGUCUUGUGUCCCUUUUACACUCAUCCAAUCUCUUGGAAACCUCAUGCAAACUAUCAGUCUUCCCAAUCCAGCAACCUAAAGCAGUCAAUGCUAAAAACUGUAAUUUCUUUUCUUUCACAUAUUUGCUGGAAAUUUUUUGUAUGCCACAAUCAAUUAACAGAGACUAGUCUGGAUCAACCUGAAGCAUUGUUUAAUAUUCAUGUUAAAGUUUCCAAAAUUGAGAAAUGUGUUUAAUGACAUGCUAGUACAUAUGGAAUAAUUUCUGACCAUCUCCAAUUUUCCCUAAGUUGCUGGAAUUGAGAAGGCAACCUCACAUUUGCCAAGACACAUAGUAAAUCUAAGAGCAAAUUUCAAAAAUUAUUUGACUCAAUCAAGGACAACCGUAUUGGUGUUAAAAGAUAAUGCCAGUGACAACACUGGUUUGAUAUUGCAGGAUUGAAUAGAUGUGGUAAGAGUUGCAGGUUGAGGUGGCUGAAUUAUCUUAGACCUGAUAUCAAGAAGGGGAAUAUCACCCAGGAAGAGGAGGACCUUAUCAUCAGGCUUCAUAAUCUACUUGGAAAUAGGUAAAAUUAAGGUCUCAAUGCUUUCUUCUUCUUACAAGGGUAGAAAGAAUACAAAUCACAAGCACAUAAUUUGGGUUGCACAUAAUGUUAUCACACUGCUUAGCAUAUAUUUAGCAGGACAGAAAAUGUUGACACUUGAGUGCAAAGGAAAAUUUUGGAGAAUAUAUGAACAAAUUUAGUGAAGUAGCAAAAUGGUCAAAUAUAAUGACAAGGAGAUGAGUGUUAUCGAUGUAAAGCAAUAAACAUCAAAAAAGCCAAAAUCCCAAUUUAUCAUUUCUAUAUCAGCCAUACAAAACCAGAAGUAUAGUAUGGCACAGCACACAAUUCAUAUGCAUAUUAUUGUAUUCUCUUAUAAAGUCCAGAAUCCAUUGAAUAUAGUGACACAGUGAGAAGCACAACUUGAGGUUUAAAAUAAGGUCACUAUAUAUUAAUUCAUAAUGUAAUCAUAAACAACGUAAGCUCCUAGGCCAGAGAAUACAUGCCAAAUGAUAGUGAUCCUCAAGCAGCAACAUUGAAAGGAAUUUUGUGAAAAGAAUUUCCACUGAAAUCAAUAAUUUAUUCAGUUUUAUAAGUCAACAAAUGCAUUAUAUUUUUCCUUCAAGCAGAUGGUCCUUGAUAGCAGGAAGAUUACCAGGGCGAACAGACAAUGAAAUAAAGAACUACUGGAAUACCUACCUCAGAAAAAAGGGCUUGCACAGCAGCCCAAGUCCUGCAUCAAAGAAUAGAGAAGUACAAACAGUUAAAGCAGUUGCAGAUAAACAAAAAGGUGUGGAAGUUAAUGUAAUAAGGACCAAGGCCAUACGAUGCACCAGAUCUCUUUUUGCUGAUGAAGUUCCUGCUAGUGGAAUGAAUAAUUCUGCAUAUUCUGUCCUACCAAGUGCUAUGUUUGAUUAUGACACCUCAGAUUUCAGUGGAAAUGACCCAGCACCUCAGGCUGCAAAAAG
RNAcentral lists this long non-coding RNA (2471 nucleotides) under Musa acuminata (dwarf banana). RNAcentral describes it as "long non-coding RNA (MACU_LNC001583)". Lineage: Eukaryota; Viridiplantae; Streptophyta; Magnoliopsida; Zingiberales; Musaceae. The record is from RNAcentral.